CCAAAAUUUACGCCAAACACCCUGAAACCCAGAAAAAGAAAAAAAAAAACAAAUCCCAUCCCUCCCCUCUCCCUUAUCCCCUCCGGCCUCUCCCUCACGUUCUCCGUCGCCGUCCCGAUCCACUCACCGCCCGGCGCACCACCCCUCGGCGGCGGAUGGCGAGGUCGGCGGCGCGGAGCGCGGGGGACGGUGGGAGCUCCUCCCUUCUCCUUCCACGGACGGCGCUCCUCCUACGUCGCGGCUUCCUCUCUCCUCUCCUCACAUCAUGGCGGCGGUCAAGAGGCCGGGGACGCGGCGGCGGAGGAGGCCGAGACGGGGGUGGAGCCACCGAUUCCCCGCGCCCCGACGAGCUCGGCGGAGUGGCGCGGAGCUCGCCGGCGUGGAGCGGGAUGGCACGGAGCUCGGCCAGCCUCCUCUCGCCAGCCACUUCCGUCGCCAUCCCUCUGCGGCGGUGGCGGUGGCGGUGGCGGUGGCGGUGGCGGCGAGGCGAUUGAACCCGAGCGAAUCGUCAGCAGCAGAUCGAGGCGCCGUGCCUGGGUCUCGUCAGAUUUCCAGCCCAGCAAGGCAAGGCCCAAGGACCUAAACUGUUGGGCUGUUGGGCUCGAUCAAGUCAGGAUAUGUCCAGGGAUGCGGCGGCCCGACCACGCUGCUUCACUCGCCGCCGUCCGCCUCCUCCUCCUCAACACCACCACACCUUCGGAGCCGCAGCUCAUCGGCGGCUACCUCCUCUUCUUGGGUGUCAUGCCCCUGCCGGCGACUCCCGCCUACGGCGCCGUCCAUCUACCGCGCCACACCGGUGUCUCCAUGGACACCAGCGCUGAGGCCAUCUUCGUCGGACCAUCACCGCCUGUUACGGCUGACAUCGAGGAAUCCUUAAGUGAUUACACAAGUAUGAUGGAGGGUUGGACUAAAGAGCAUGUAUUGGCAGCACGUGGUCUUCGUAAUAAGGUUGCGCCUAUUCGUGUUGAGGCCAUGCGCCUAGGGAUUGCUGCUGACAGUGCUGGAAUCACAUGUUUUUUGGAUGCUUUUGAUGAGUGUAUGAAGCGAGUUGAUCUGCAUCUAGUUACUCAGAAGAACUCAUUUCAAGAAUUUCUUGGUAGUCCACUACAGCAAACAGUUCCAGACACUUGUGCGAUUGUCUCUUCCACCAAGUGCGUAGAGGUACAGCAUAGAAGGGAGUACGAGACUAUGCACGGGACUGGCUCCUUCCCCUGCAACGCCGCGGCCCCCCGCAAGCUGCGUAGGGCCUGCUUCUGCCAGAAGGUGUGGAAGCCGAAAAAGGGAGCUCGAGUGGGAGAUGUGAUUGAUAUGAUACAGAGGUUAGGUGGAGCGAGGACGACAAGCGCACCAGCUCCAGCGCCAUAUAUGCUGCCAGUGCGCUCGUGGCAGCGGCACCGGUGGGACGUUGGUGGUGGCCUGACUGCGGACCGCAUCGCCGAGCUUCUUGACACACGCGGGCCUUUCAUUGGAACCAUAUGGGUAUGCCCAUGGUAUGAUUUGUUCAACUCGGUUGAAGAUGAAGAUCUGGUUUACAGGUCAGGCUGUGCACGGAGCAAGGUGCUUCAGAGGUUGAGCAAGUUCUGUUUUGGAAAGGAUCUCGUCGGCCUUCAUUCAGUGUUGUGCUUUGAAUACCGCAUCUGCGACGGAUAACUCCACAUACACAUCUUGGAUAACCACGAGACCACUGGACCGCAGCGAUGGAUUCAUCACUCCGAGUUGGAGGAGGUGCAUACCAUCACUGUGGAGCGGAUCAAUCAUCUUGGUGACCGCCACAUCAGGUAUCCACACAGCGGAGUGUCUUGACUUGGAGUGUCUUUGUUCGUUUUCGUUUUCGUUCUCACUCGAAAACGAAAAACAACAAAACUCACGCCCUCUUGUGUUGCGCCUUGUAUUUGUUACUGAUUCUUCCUUUUGUUAAUGUUCUUGUAUAUAUACUCCGUAUAUCAACUUCCUUGUAACCAUAUCACUACAUUUGUCAUCUCCUCGAGAAAAAAAAUAUUCUAGACUAUGACCACC
This 2016-nucleotide long non-coding RNA is filed under the name Oryza sativa Indica Group (long-grained rice). RNAcentral's name for it is "lncRNA OsZS97_12G000480". The record is from RNAcentral. Lineage: Eukaryota; Viridiplantae; Streptophyta; Magnoliopsida; Poales; Poaceae.